GGGCCCGCACAAGCAGCGGAGCAUGUGGUUUAAUUCGAAGCAACGCGAAGAACCUUACCUAGACUUGACAUCUCCUGAAUAGCGUAGAGAUACGUGAAGCCCUUCGGGGCAGGAAGACAGGUGGUGCAUGGUUGUCGUCAGCUCGUGUCGUGAGAUGUUGGGUUAAGUCCCGCAACGAGCGCAACCCUUAUCAUUAGUUGCUACCAUUAAGUUGAGCACUCUAGUGAGACUGCCCGGGUUAACCGGGAGGAAGGCGGGGAUGACGUCAAAUCAUCAUGCCCCUUAUGUCUAGGGCUACACACGUGCUACAAUGGUGAGAACAACGAGAUGCAAUACCGCGAGGUGGAGCCAAACUUGAAAACUCAUCCCAGUUCGGAUUGUAGGCUGAAAUUCGCCUACAUGAAGUUGGAGUUGCUAGUAAUCGCGAAUCAGAAUGUCGCGGUGAAUACGUUCCCGGGCCUUGUACACACCGCCCGUCACACCAUGAGAGCUGGUAACACCCGAAGUCCGUGAGGUAACCUUUAUGGAGCCAGCGGCCGAAGGUGGGAUUAGUGAUUGGGGUGAAGUCGUAACAAGGUAGCCGUAGGAGAACCUGCGGCUGGAUCAC
This 607-nucleotide ribosomal RNA is filed under the name uncultured bacterium. RNAcentral's name for it is "bacterial SSU rRNA". It matches the Rfam family "Bacterial small subunit ribosomal RNA", at positions 917 to 1526 of the family's 1533-position model. The record is from RNAcentral.